GCUAGGCCCGAGCUUUCAGUGGAUUCAGCCGGUAGCUCAAGAGAGCCCUGCACUGUUCUAGAAGCCAAGGUAACGCUGAGUGCUAAUGGGUCCCGUCCUUCAGGAAACCGACUCGAUUUCGCUUAUUAGCUUUAGAGAGGUGACAAGAGGUCACCUCAGAGAAUCAAAACACUUCUUUCCAAGUACGGAAUAAGGACCUUCACCUUCAUAUCUUCAAAGGACUCUCUGUGUACUUUAAACCCUCACCAGCCCGGAACUUCCGCUGCACUUCCUGGUGCCUGGGCUACCCUAUUCAGCCUCAUCUCAGAAGAAAUGCCACUGUCUGGUUACAUGAACCAGGUCACUGAACCAGGUGUCUGACUAGUUACCGCUCCGAAGUUCCUUCUACUAACCCAGAGACAUAAAAUUGUUAUUUUGCAGUCCAACAAAGAAGCACCUUUUGGAGCAAAAACUGGACACCAUCUGUGUGGUUCACCCAACCUUAGUGUGCAGCCCCUUUGAAGUCAUGGCCACUGAAAAUGAAGACACAAACUUACGUCUUUAUAGCCUUUCUGCAAGGAAUGAUUCCUACAUCACUUUGGCCUUAACCUAGCAAUUUGUCACCUGUUUUUAUGGAGUCUAAAGCCACAUAAUUAUCAGGUCAGAUAUUCCAUCUGCCUUGGGCUACCAGCAGCCAGUAUCUGGGACUUCACUGAUUGUUCAGGAGAACAGAAGCAGUCAGCAGAGGAUUCACCAUCCCCAAAUAAAAUCACCACUGCACCCUUACUCACCAGAUCAGUGUGCCUUCCCAAGAAAGUAACUCACAAUAAAAGUCUCCUCCUAUGUCAUAUAUCACAGUAGAACCCAUGAUUUUUAAUAAAUUCAUCUUAAGGAAUAUAUAUUAAA
Long non-coding RNA from Mesocricetus auratus (golden hamster), 885 nucleotides. RefSeq lists it as uncharacterized. The transcript has 2 exons. NCBI's taxonomy places the organism in Eukaryota, Metazoa, Chordata, Mammalia, Rodentia, Cricetidae. The record is from RefSeq and is a predicted model, not a curated record.